GCUACAAUAAGGAAACAUCCCUAUCUUACAUAGAGCGUGCAGCCAACCGCUGCGACUUCCUGACCCCGGGUACAACGGAGUCAGGCGUGGCUCUAGACACCCUCGUGACAUCAGGUUGAUACUAACUACGAACUUUUGGCUUGCUAUGUCCACGAUGACAGCUUAAACUUGGCGGUAAAGCAAAUUUCUAGUAGAAUGUUAGCAUGCUUUGACAUGUUCACAGUAAAUAUUUUCUUGAAUUUUUACUACCCCUAUAUAGGAAUAUUAGAUUAUGUCAUUUUUAGUUGUCUGUACCUUUACUAUUGUGUGGAUUGUUUACACAUAUGUCUAAAGAUAAAUAAUUGCAUUCUUUACUAGGUUAUAUUUCAAAAUAAGGACAAUGAAGACGAUACUGCUAUAGACCAUCCAUUGGCUUUGCAAAACCUUGAAAAUCCGUUGGUUAGUGAUGACAAUGCGGAAUCAGAGAAUGAGAUGCUUCCGAGAGAAUGUUUUCAGACAAAUCCAUUAUUGAGCAAAAAUUCACAUUACAGAGUUUUUACGCUGGAGCAGACAGAAGAUAGAACUGAACUGUUAAAUUGGUGUACCUGUUCAAAUUGUACAUUGAUGCCGACAAAAUUAGAGUCUAUAUGCUGUAAAGAAAUAUCCAAUGCUGAAACAUACAUAGGCGAUUUCACAUGUAUAAUUGAACAUGAGUUUUUCAACAUUUUCUGUGAGCGUGAUGAGACUGCCAAUAUUGUUCUAAGGACAAUUGGACAAGUUCUAAAUACACCUCCGGAAAAGCAUGUCAACAGAUUGAAAAGAGAGGCUGCUUAUCGGUCGUUCACUGCAUGGAAUCAUGGAUAUUUGGGCAUCGGCGACCGUCGACUGAAUCCAUCAUGUGUUGUGAAUAGUGUUCGUAAUUCCUUUCCUGACCCAGAUGAAGAGUACAUGGGUUUCAAACAACAUAGCGAUAGCCCAGCGGAGUUUAUGGCUUUUGAAUAAAUGAAUUAAAUAUUGUUCAAAUUGUAAUUUAUUCUGAUUAUACAUUGUAUGUUAGAAAAAGCCAUGUUUAUAUCAUAAUAUUUAUAUUUACUUCAUUCUUAUUCUCUGCCUUCUUUAUAAUUAUUACAUGGCUAAUACUGUACUAUGUCUUAGCUUCCAGAAAUUUUCAUAGUAUGAAUAACACAAAAUGUUUUACACUAAGAAAAAAAAAAAAGUUCAGAGUCAAUUUUUUUUAUAAUUUUUUUUAUUAAAACAUGCGAGUUCAUUAUUUUAUUUAAAACUUUUUUAAACUGUUGAAAAAUUCAAUAAAAAUAACAUAAGAUACAGCCUGUGUUGCACAUCGAGCUCCAUUCCCUUUACUAUUAUCCCCUAUCUCAUCUUUUAUCUUAGGGGUCUUGGUUGUCGUGUUUGUCUCCUUCUCUUAGGGCGGCUUCACACGAACGUGUGAAGCCCAUGCCCGUGCUGUGGACGGCAAAUUGCGGUCCAGAAUGGCCGGGCACCUACUGUUUGGCUGCCGCAAGGGUGUCACAGCCCCAUUCACUUGAAUGGGUCCGCGAUCCCUCCGUUCCGCAAAAAGAGAUUAUGCUCUAUCUUUUUGCGGUGCAGAAGGACAGAACGGAACACCGGAAAACACUAUGUAGUGCUUCUGUAGUGUUCUGUUCCGUCGUUCCAUUCCGCAUCUCCGGAGUUUGAGGACGCAUUGAAAUGAAUAGAUCCGCAUCCGUGAUGCGUAAAGGCAACGGAACAUUCCCCGUGUAUUGCGGAUCCACAAAUGCGGUCCACAAUACGGGCACUUAGCUCCUGCGCCCGUGUUAAAACGCCCUUAGGCUGUGAUGCUGACAAAUCGCAGUGCAGAGUUCAGCCUGGGAUAAAAACUAAAAACCCCAACUUGUGAUUUUAGCUCUGCUUUUAGACAACGAAACAGACUGGAAGAUAAAGACACCAAGGAUAACAAUGGGAGACUCCUCCUUGUACAACAUGGUCCCCUAGUAUAAUAGAGGACAUAGUGUCAUAAAAGAGCGUUGGCUUGGGACAGAACAUAAAUGUAAGGGAGAUCCAUGAUCAUCGCACGCUCUUUUUGUAUAUUAGACUUAAAAAUAAAUUUUAAUUUAUACAUAUCUUAUUGUAACACCGAAAAAAUAUCAUUUUUUUAAUUAUAGAGAUGAAUUCCUCCUUCAAGAUUAGAACAUGGACUGUUACAAAAAUAAUAAUAUUAAUGCACACUCACAAAACGUGUUUGUGCCAGUUAUUUUAAGAGAUAGAGUCUAACGUAUUUUUCUAAUAAGAUAAAACACAUUUUUCUGAAAAAUUCUAAAG
Long non-coding RNA from Bufo gargarizans (Asiatic toad), 2298 nucleotides. RefSeq lists it as uncharacterized. The transcript is spliced from 3 exons. The record is from RefSeq and is a predicted model, not a curated record. NCBI's taxonomy places the organism in Eukaryota, Metazoa, Chordata, Amphibia, Anura, Bufonidae.